RNAcentral lists this ribosomal RNA (220 nucleotides) under uncultured bacterium. RNAcentral describes it as "partial 16S ribosomal RNA". It matches the Rfam family "Bacterial small subunit ribosomal RNA", at positions 116 to 334 of the family's 1533-position model. The record is from RNAcentral.
CGUAAGCAACCUGCCCCAAGACCGGGACAACGUUCCGAAAGGAGCGCUAAUACCGGAUGUGCCCAUCGGGUGACAUCGCCUGAUGAGUAAAUCGAGCAAUCGGCUUAGGGAGGGGCUUGCGGCCUAUCAGCUAGAUGGUGGGGUAACGGCCUACCAUGGCGACGACGGGUAGCUGGUCUGAGAGGAUGGUCAGCCGGAUUGGGACUGAGAUACGGCCCAG